RNAcentral lists this ribosomal RNA (489 nucleotides) under uncultured bacterium. RNAcentral describes it as "partial 16S ribosomal RNA". It matches the Rfam family "Bacterial small subunit ribosomal RNA", at positions 28 to 507 of the family's 1533-position model. The record is from RNAcentral.
GACGAACGCUGGCGGCGUGCUUAACACAUGCAAGUCGAACGGUGAAGGGACCAGCUUGCCGGUUCUGGAUGAGUGGCGAACGGGUGAGUAACACGUGAGUAACCUGCCCCCUUCUUCUGGAUAACCGCAUGAAAGUGUGGCUAAUACGGGAUAUUCUGGGUCUGUCGCAUGGCGGGCCCGGGAAAGAUAUUGCUUCGGUGGGGGAUGGGCUCGCGGCCUAUCAGCUUGUUGGUGGGGUGAUGGCCUACCAAGGCGGUGACGGGUAGCCGGCCUGAGAGGGUGGACGGUCACACUGGGACUGAGACACGGCCCAGACUCCUACGGGAGGCAGCAGUGGGGAAUAUUGCACAAUGGGCGCAAGCCUGAUGCAGCGACGCCGCGUGAGGGAUGGAGGCCUUCGGGUUGUAAACCUCUUUCGCCAGUGAAGCAGGCCUGCUCCUUGUGGGUGGGUUGACGGUAGCUGGAUAAGAAGCGCCGGCUAACUACGUG